AUGGACGCAAGUCUGAUGGAGCAACGCCGCGUGAGUGAAGAAGGUUUUCGGAUCGUAAAGCUCUGUUGUUGGUGAAGAAGGAUAGAGGUAGUAACUGGCCUUUAUUUGACGGUAAUCAACCAGAAAGUCACGGCUAACUACGUGCCAGCAGCCGCGGUAAUACGUAGGUGGCAAGCGUUGUCCGGAUUUAUUGGGCGUAAAGCGAGCGCAGGCGGAAAAAUAAGUCUAAUGUGAAAGCCCUCGGCUUAACCGAGGAAUUGCAUCGGAAACUGUUUUUCUUGAGUGCAGAAGAGGAGAGUGGAACUCCAUGUGUAGCGGUGGAAUGCGUAGAUAUAUGGAAGAACACCAGUGGCGAAGGCGGCUCUCUGGUCUGCAACUGACGCUGAGGCUCGAAAGCAUGGGUAGCGAACAGGAUUAGAUACCCUGGUAGUCCAUGCCGUAAACGAUGAGUGCUAAGUGUUGGGAGGUUUCCGCCUCUCAGUGCUGCAGCUAACGCAUUAAGCACUCCGCCUGGGGAGUACGACCGCAAGGUUGAAACUCAAAGGAAUUGACGGGGGCCCGCACAAGCGGUGGAGCAUGUGGUUUAAUUCGAAGCAACGCGAAGAACCUUACCAGGUCUUGACAUCUAGCGCCAAUCGUA
RNAcentral lists this ribosomal RNA (640 nucleotides) under Lactobacillus sp. oral taxon 461. RNAcentral's name for it is "bacterial SSU rRNA". It matches the Rfam family "Bacterial small subunit ribosomal RNA", at positions 371 to 1002 of the family's 1533-position model. Lineage: Bacteria; Bacillati; Bacillota; Bacilli; Lactobacillales; Lactobacillaceae. The record is from RNAcentral.